RNAcentral lists this long non-coding RNA (19118 nucleotides) under Lactuca sativa (garden lettuce). Its description in RNAcentral is "long non-coding RNA (LSAT_LNC001557)". The record is from RNAcentral. Lineage: Eukaryota; Viridiplantae; Streptophyta; Magnoliopsida; Asterales; Asteraceae.
AUUUCGUUUUUUAUGGUGGAAAUUGGUGAAUCGUCAUUCGCCUACCUUCAAAUAUUUUAUAUCUUGGAUUACGGCAUCCUUCUUCCAAGUUAUAUAGUAUUGUGUUGGGUCGUAGCCUUAAUAUUACGUUUGGGUGUCUUAUUAAGGAUCCUAUAUCUAAUCUAAACUUGUCUUUUUUUUUUCAGAUGUCUUCCAACAAUGCUGCUUCUCGGUCAAACCCUACUAGCUCCUUCUCUAUCAUGAACCUUUGUGGGAGAGUCAUCUUUGAUGGUUCAAACUUUAAUGAUUGGAUCAGGAACAUCAGGAUGGUCACGCGUUACGAGGACAAGGAAUAUGUCCUCGACAAGAAGCUGAAAGAAAUUGAUGAGUCAACUGCUACUCCAUAGGAGAUCGCUGACUUUAGGGCACAUGAGAUAGAUGAUACCAAAGUGGCAUGUAUCAUGUUGGCCACAAUGGCAGCUGAACUCCAUAAGUCCUAUGAGGACUUUUAACCUUUUGAGAUGCACAUGGACUUGAUGGACCACUACCAUCAAAGUGCUCGUCAAGAGAGGUAUGAAAUCAUCUCUUCCAUGAUAACAACCCGAAUGAAGGAUGGUGAAUCCAUCACGGGCCACAUACAGAAAAUGAAAAGGUUUGUGGACCGUCUGCUGAAGUUGAAUGUGAACUUCCCAGAGGAGUUGGCUAUUGAUAUCAUACUGCACUCCUUACCUACUUCUUUUGAUCAGUUUCGGAUGACCUAUCAUAUGAACAAGGAGGAGGUCACACUCAGCAAAUUUCAAGGACUUUUGAAGACCGCCGAAACCGGUCUCAAGGGUAAAUCAUUUAUUACUAGUCCUACUCCUAACACUGCCCCUGUUCUAGCAAUCGGGAAAAGUAGAGGGAAGAAGAGGAAGACCCCUUCGAAGGGUACCAAGGGAAAGUCUCUUGAUGGGUCCUCUUCAACUAGAACCAAAGGUGGUUCUAUCACUCCUUCUUCAAACCCAAAGGAAGCUCAGUGCUUCUAUUGUCAGGAGAAGGGGUGCUGGAAACGAAACUGCCCCAAGUACCUACAAGAUGUUAAGGAUGGGAAGGUCAAACCUACCCAUGCAAGUAUGUACACUAUAUUGUCUAAUAAAUCACUACAUUCUACUUCUUGGGCUCUUGAUAUAGGUUGUGGUAUUCAUAUAUGUUCUGAUUUGCAGAGCCUAAGAAGAAGUGAGGAUGUGGAGCACGGAAAGAUAAACUUAAUCUUGGGUUAUAGGAUAGCUUCACAUGUCACCAAGAUUGGAGUUUAUUCUUUGUUGCUAAGUAGUGUGUUAGUUUUAGAUUUGAAUAAGUGUUGUUACUCGUCUGAUAUGGCGAGAAAUAUUAUUUCCUUUCAUGGUUUGUACAAACAAGGAUUUACUUUUUCAUUUGAUAAUGAAGUUAGUGGUAUUAAUGCCUUUUAUAAUAAUGUUCUUUAUUUUAAAACAUUACCUUGUGAUGGUGUAUAUGAAACUGUGUUGGUUGUAGACAACUUAGGAAAUAAUGUAUUACAUAUCAAUUCUUCCACUAGUUUGGAUAAAGCAUCCUUGUGGCAUUGUUGUCUUCGACAUGUUAACAAGAAGCGCAUAGGCCAACUCCAAAUGGCUGGAGUCUUGGAGUCAUUUGACUUCAGGUCGGAUGAUAGUUGUGAGUCUUAUUUACUUGGAAAAAUGACAAAGUCACCUCACUAGUUCUUCUGCUAGGGGUGAAGGUUUGUUGGACUUCAUACACACAGAUGUAUGUGGACCCUUCAGAACAGCCACAAGGGAUGCCAACCGCUUCUAUGUGACUUUUACUGAUGAUUACAAUAUGAUUACAAUAGAUAUGGCUAUGUCUACUUAAUUAAGCACACGUCAGAAACUUUUGAAAAGUUCAAGGAGUUUAAACAGGAAGUGGAGAAUCAGCUGGGCAGGAACAUUAAGAUGCUCCGAUCCGAUCGAGGAGGAGAGUAUCUUAGCACAGAGUUCCUUGACUAUCAUAAGGAAUGUGGAAUUGUUUCACAAUUGACACCUCCCAUGAAACCACAACUUAAUGGUGUGGCUGAGAGGCACAAUCGAACCUUGUUAGACAUGGUUCAUCCCAUGAUGAGUCGAGCUUCGUUACCAAUAUCAUUCUGGGGGUAUACCUUAGAGACUGCCGCCUAUAUCCUGAAUUUAGUCCCUACCAAGAAGGUUGCCAAAACACCUCACGAGAUGUAGACUGGGAAAGUCCCCAAUUCGAACCACAUCAAGAUUUGGGGUUACGAGGCUUUUGUGAGGCGUGAGACUCAGGAUAAGCUCGAACCUCAUAGUGAGCCGUGUAUUUUCAUCAGAUACCCACAAAAUUCUUUUGGUUACCUCUUCUACAGACCCAGUGAGAAUGUGGUCUUUGUGGCAAGGAGAGGGGUCUUUCGCGAGAGAGUUUAUAAGCCAAGGAAACAGUGGGAGGCAAAUUGACCUUGAAGAACUUCAAGAUUCAAGCGGUGAAGGAACCUCAAAACCUAACAAUUAACCUGAGGAGGAAACUCAUGUUGAUGAGUCCGUACCUCUGAGGUGUUCCAUAAGAGUUAGGAAUCCACUUGAGCAUUACUAUGGUUUUCAUAUUACUGCGAAAGGUGAUUCAUUUAUCACUGAUAGUACACUGGUAAAUUUAGAUGAGCCUAACAGCUUUAAGGAAGCCAUGGCUGGCCCAGAGUCCGCCAAAUGAAAAGAGGCCAUGGACAGCGAGAUUCAGUCCUUUUAUGACAGUCAAAUUUAGAACUUGGUUGACAAUGUACCGGGUCGUAAGACGGUCGGGUAAAAAUGGAUCUUCAAGAACAAGACCGACAUGGAUGGGAAUGUACACACUUAUAAAGUGCGACUGGUUGCGAAGGGAUUUACUAAACCUAGUAUUGAAGAUUAAGUCUAUUAGGGUUUUGCUAGCCAUAGUUGCAUUUCAUGAUUAUGAAAUAUGGCAAAUGGAUGUCAAAACCGCUUUCCUUAAUGGAAAGUUGGCUAAGGAGGUUUACAUGAGUCAGCCAGAGGGGUUUGUCGAUGCAAAGCACCCUAAUAGAGUGUGUAAGAUUGAGAAAUUCAUCUAUUGAUUGAAACAAGCACCUCGCAGAUGGAAUCUUUGUUUCGAUGAGAAAGUCAAAGAGUUUGGUUUUUCAUGGAGCGAAGAUGAGUCCUGUGUAUAUGUUAAGGCUAGUGGGAGUAUAGUUAGCUUUUUGGUACUGUAUGUGGAUGACAUAUUGUUCAUAGGAAAUGACAUCCCAACCUUGCAGUAGGUUAACUCCUGGCUUGGGAAGUGUUUCGCUAUGAAGGAUCUUAGAGAAGCUGCCUAUAUCCUAGGGAUAAGGAUUUUGAGAGAAAGGAGUAAGAGACUAAUUGGACUAAGUCAAAGUACCUACUUGGAUACGGUGCUGAAGAGGUUCAGCAUGCAGGAUUCCAAGAAAGGUGAUUUACUAAUCCAGUGUAACGCCAAACUAAGUAAGACUCAGAGCCCGAGUACAGAGGCUGAGAUAGAUGAUAUGAGUCGAGUACCAUAUGCUUCCGUUGUAGGCUCGAUCAUGUAUGGUAUGACUUGUACUCGCCCUGAUGUGGCCUUUUCUUUGAGCAUGGUCAGUGGAUAUCAAGGGAAUCUGGGCAAGGCUCACUAGGCUGUGGUAAAGAAUAUUCUCAAGAACCUAAGGAAGACUAUGGAUUGGGUCCUUACCCUUGGUGGGAGUGAUGACUUGAGAGUAGCCGGGUAUAGUGAUUUUGGUUUCCAAAAUGAUAGGGAUAACUUCCGCUCUCAGUCAGGCUGGGUCUUUACCCUAAAUGGAGGAGCAAUUACUUGGAAGAGUUCCAAGUAAGAAACAGUAGCUUAUUCAACUUGUGAAUCUGAGUACAUAGCAGCAAGCGAGGCGGAAAAAGGAGGCUAUAUGGCUAAAGAACUUCAUUGGAGACCUUGGAGUUGUACCAGCUAUUAAAGAGCUUAUGGAGAUUUUCUGUAACAAUGAGGGUGCAGUUGCCUUAGCUAAGGAACCAAGGGAUCAUGACAAAUCUAGGCACAUCAACAGGAAAUACCACUUCAUUAGACAUCGGAUAGAAGAAGGACUCCUUGUGGUAAAGAGGGUAUUAUCGGAUGAGAACCCAACAGACCCCCUCACGAAGGCACUGUGUAGGGUUAAGCAUUUGCAGCAUGCGAGGCACAUCAGGCUGAAGGAUGAUAUUAGUUUCACAGAUUAGAUAGUUAUUUCUGAAACUUGUAUAAUGUAAAUUGACAAUUGAUGAUUAAAUAAAAGUUGUUGUUUAUUUGUAAGUAAAGUGUUGCUAUCGUGUGUCAAUUGUUUACUACUGUUUCAAUUUUGCGUGUUUUGACUUGCAGAAUAAUUUCUUUAUUCAAACUCUCCACAAUCAGUCAUAUGUUGGAAGUUGAUAUGAAUCAAGACUAUCAUAAAUUGGGCUUGUAGAUGUCUAAGAAGUUAGACAUAACAAAACGUUGCUAACACAUUCACGAGUGCUCAUAAGUUCUGAGCAUUGGAUUCAACCCACGCACACUUGUAUCACUUCAUGGAAUUUAUCUCGAGUGAUCGUGAGACGGUAACAUCAUAUAAGUCUUCAAACCUAGAGAUAUGAGUUGUUGAUUAUGAGUUAGCUGUGCAUUUAUUGUACGAAAACGCAUCGGUAACUCAAUGUUAUAAAACGUGCUUUUGUGUAUGAUUCAACAAAUAGUUAGUACAAGCAUAUGAGUCGAAUCUUAUCUGUUGCUUCUAGUCCUUGGAGUAUUAGAAGCGAUAUCUGGACCCCUCGAUGAGUUUGUUUUGACCUAUGUACCGGGCCCGAUCAAAACCAAAUUGAUGUGUUCAUUUUAGUUCUAUGUCAAACAAAUCGAAAAUCGGGUAACAGACUGUUGGACAAUAAGUACGACAUUGUUCCAUGUAUUUUUCCGGCUGAUAUCUAGAAUAGAGGAUUAUAUGAUCACUUAUCUUAAAUGGCGCAUCAUCAUCUUAGUUCCACGAAACUUUGAAAGAGCUACGAUUGCCGGCCGGUUCCUGAAAUCAUACCCGUAACUAUAGGUAUUAGACUUAUCCAAGUGGGAGACUGUUGGAUAAGGUGUCUAAGUUCAUAACUUUAUUUACUAUGUACUUGACCCAGCUUGGCAUGGUCUAUUUGGGUCGCAUGGCAUCAUAAUAAUUGGAUAGACAAAAUGAGAAAAGGACACUUGUGGUUGUUAAUAUAUUAUAAGUUCUAAUAUAUUAUUUAAUUAGUAUUGAUCAAGAAUUAAUUUGUAAUUAAUUUUGUGAUCAAAAAGAGACUAAUUAAAUAUAUGGGGAUUGAUUUGUAAAUCAUUCAUUCUUAUGUAGUGGGCUUAUGGUUCAAGCUUCAAUAGAUUGGGCUAGGACCCAUUGGGUGCUCCAUGGAGGUUAAAACCCAUGGAUCAUGGAGGAAAUGAAAAGUCAUGCAAAUUAGGGUUUACAUGGUGUAACCCUACAUGUGGCACACUAUAUAAAGAGCCCCAUGGCAAGCAAAAUUGGCUCUAAGACUAAAGAAAGUGAGGGCUAGCCGAUUUUUGUGAUCAAGUGUUCUUCUCUCAAGUUAUUCCAAGAGUUGUGGUGUUGCGUGAAACAUUUGAGGCAUCACAUUUGGGGUGCUAGGCUCACAUGGUCAUAAGGAAUCCAAGCUACAAGAAAGGUAUGUCAUUCUACUAGUUUUUAAUAUUACAAGUUCCCUACGCCAUGCUAGUUAGGAUGAAAACCAUGGAAAUCAAAUUUGCAUGAAUAUUAGAGAAAACAUAGAUCCAAGGUUUCUAGGGUUGCAUGUACACCACAGGAGUGUUAGAAUGCUCAAAACCCAUCACAAUCAACCAUCAGGUUGGAAUACCAAUAUUCAACGGGUCUAGUCAUCCUCGGGAUAGAAUAACCUCAAGCCCAUUCGACCAUCGGGUCGGGAUGCCCCGGCCUGUUGGCUUACACACAAAGCGGUGAAGCCUCAUCCACCGAUUAAACAUGUGCACAUAUAACAAAUAAUCAUAUAAAAGUCUACGGCCAGUCAUACAGAUCUACAGAUCACUAAGCAUAACAACAUCCCAUCUACCAGGAUUCAGAUCUAACAAAUCACGAUAACACAAAAGCAUGCAUAACAUGAUAUCAAUCCAAUGAGCCGACAUUGGUGACUUCAACCCACAAGUAUAGUGAGGAAAACGUACCUCGACAGGUGAACCCACGAAUCUAUGACUGCAGAUCCGCUAGAAUCCCCACGUAACAUGCAUACAUAACAUUCAAUUAACAUUCAGGCUCCAAAUCAGAUCCAAUACUCCAAACAUAGGGUAAAAAGACCAUUUUACCCCUCACCUAGUUUGGUCCAAGACUAAGGCGUAACUCCUAAUUAAUAGCCCCACAAACCAAAUAAUCAUCCAAAGCCCACUUAUGGCCCAAUUUUCCAAAUUAGGCCCAAACCCUUCAUGGGUCUUACCCUAAAGCCCAAUAACUCUUCCUAGUAAAAAACACUUGUUCUUAGCUGGUCCAAAAAUGCCCCAAACAACCAAGACCAAAAGAUGGCCCAAAUCCUAAAUGACACCAAAAGGCCCAAUAAGGCCUAAAUAUCCAAAUUCGGCCCAAAACCAUCAUGGGCCUAACCCGAGAAGGCCCAAUAUCCUAAAAGGCUCAAAAUAACCAAUGGUCAACCCUGGUAAAACUUCUAGUCAAAAGUCCAUAGCCAACAAGCCAACAAAACUGGAAAAGUACAACCGGCUGAGUACGUCCCACAUACUCAGCUAGUAUGCCCAGCAUACACCCUUUGGGGCCAAUAAACACAGCGUACCAGAUGGGUACACCCAUCGUACUCCCUUGAACCCCAUUCUUCUCUAUUAAGCACUUAACCACUUAAGUCCUUUCUCUAAACUCCCAGAUCCAAUUCCUAUGGAUGACUUAUCACGUAAAGUUGGCAACUUUACUUGCAUUCAAGACUUAAUGGGGCUCUUGUGCUCAAAAGAGCUUAAUGAAAGGUCUUAAGACAUGCACUAGACCAAAUAGACCCUAAAGAUCACAUUUUUAUGCCUUGGGGACUCAUAAAAUGUCUAAAUCUACAAGAUCAAGCCUCUGAACCAACCUUAGCUCACAAGGACCAACCAAAGGAGCUAAAAUGACCAUAAUCAAACCCAAAAGAAGAUCUAACAAGGGAGAUGAUAAGAUCAAAGAUUUUUACCUUCAAUAGAUUGCAAAAGAUGGAAAACCUCUAGAUCAACAAGCUCCUUUCCAGGUGGUGAUUCUUCAACAAGCUCCAAGCUCUUCAAAGUGCACAAAAUACUCCAAGAUCCUUCACAAUGGCUUAAAAGAUCCAAGAUAAAGGCUAAGGGUAACCUUCUAGGGUUUAGGAGGCUUAGAGGUUGAUAAACGAUGAGUCUCAUCAAAGAAAUGAGAUUUAAAUAGGGUUAAGGACCAAAAAUUAGGGAUUUAUGGAUGAAGGGGGUACACCCCAUGUACCCCUUAGUAUGCCCGACAUACUCAUCGACCAUCCGCAACCAAUCUUCUCGGUAUGCCCCGCGUACACAUCUAGUACGCCCUGCGUACUAGAUGUCCCUCCAAAACUCUAAAACUUCAUUCGGCCUUCACUCCUUCAUCCUAAGUCCGUUUCCUAUGAACCCUAUUUCCAUGGAGAGGUGACGAGAAGCCCUAUGCUUCUAUCAACUGACCCUCCCUCUAAAACUUCCCGAAUAAGAUCCCACAAAUCAUAAAGUCCCAAACUAACAGAUUAUGAUUAUACCAUUGGGCUCCGUAACACCAUCGAACACUCGGAUCACUUAAACUAUAACACCUACAUUAAAAAAGGACCAAAUCCUUUCUUUCCCAAGGCCUAAGCCUUAUGAUAACUGAUGAUCAGGCCACAACCCCGAAUAAUGAAGCAAUUAGAAACCGAGUGUUACAACUCUCCCCAACAUAAAUUCGAUUUCGUCCUCGCAAUCAUUCCUUACCAUCCCUGGCAUGCCCGAGAGUGUGAGAGACACCGCCGCAACCAUGAGUAUACAACGACCUUCCCAAGGCAACCGAACCCAGUAGGACUUCCAACCCGAAGAAGAAAAAUCCACAAUCCCAUGCAGAAAACCAACCCUACAUUAUCUGAAAUCUGAAACCUCAAGGUGGUUUGACUUCCCAACAGACCGCCCAUAACAAAUCAAUUGCUAAUUCCACUUAACUUAUCCAUCCAACUAUUUACUCGACUCCUGAUCUCCUGAGAUUCCUACUAGAAAAAAGAAUCGCAAUCCAUCUAAACUGAAAACAUCCUUUCUUACCCUGAACCUCCAACGGAUGCCCUGGCAUACAGAUUUCUUAUCCCACUUCAUUGAAUAUAGGCCUGGCAAGAAGACUCUCGCAAUUCCCAACACGAGUUUCCACCAAAAGCCAGAAAUGGCCACUCAUAAAAUUUCUCAUCAAUCCUUCCUAAGGUUUAUGAGCGUUCAUCCAUGAAUUUAUCCCUAGUCCCUAACUGGAGACACCACAAAGAACAUGCGGAAAAGAUCCUCAAAACUUAUCGAUCGCGAACUUUUAUCAUUCCAAAACCAUAUGAUGUACCAAAACCCCAAAUAACUCUAACGCUCUGCCAUGCCACUACCAACCACUGUUCCGACUAGAAAAAGAUGAUCAAUCCAAGAAUUUCCACAUUGCAUCCAACCCCUAUUAGCGCAUGUGCACCCCCACCUGGGAAAACCACUCGAUACACUCAGGAGGAACUUAAUGAUUCGUGACUUUGAAACUGAUUCCCAACUUGAUAAUAAAACCCUUAACAACAACCUAUGAACAAACGGAAAUAUAAUGCAUACUUUCCACAAAUACUUUCUGAUACCUGACUAAUACUCUCGACAACCCUUAACUAUUCCCUUUAAACAAAACACAUUACACCUCUGUCGGCAGUACACAUACUGGAUUACCACAAUGCACAUCCUUAGGGAACCCAUAACCACGUCCCAAAAAAGGGAAGAAACACUAGAGCUCUAUUGAGCAACCCACCACAAACAUUAACAGAGGAAUUUCCCAUGAAUGAUCGAAACAUACCCCAAACAUUGAAUGAGACUGAACAGAUUCUAUAAAUUACCCACAUAGCUCAUGAAGACUCCUUGAAUGCUACCAAAAACCUUAGCCUACUAUAACCAAAAUUUCACAUUCCCAAUAAGGGUAAACAUAACCUAAAGCCAAAGGAAAUGAAACAUACUGAACUGGAUGGUAGGUUGACACAUUCCUUGCACUUCAACUUUCCCCACUUGAAUCUUUCAUAAAAUCUCACCUGAAUGAUGAAUUCAACGACCAAUGGCAUGGGACAUAUUGACACUUAAUCAAGAGAAGCAAAAACUACCCGGAACUGAACAUAACCAUCUUUGGAAAUAAUUCACUGCUCAACGUGUGCCCAAACUAAUCUGAACCGCAAUCCAAACUGACAACUAAAAAAUCCCUCAAUGAUUGAUGCUUAACCUGAGAAUCCCAGUUAUCCCCCACUUAGAACUCAACCCACCAUUCACUGUGUUGAAACCAAAUCAUAACUCAAUCGGGUCAACCAUAUACGACCAUACCUGACCCUGGAAUGAAUAAUACACACAGAAUGAUCCUCCAUAUACGGAUCAAACGAAUCCCAAGAAGAUAUUGAAUUUCAGCUAAAGACCUCUGAAAUCCCCAAUCAUAACCACUUAACAUUAUGGGUUUCAUACAAAAGUGUAAACAACUACCGACUUACGAUCCAAACAUAUACUACAUGCCUGCAACCCCAACAAUAAUAUGACACCUGGCUUUUUUAUAUCCCAAGAAUACAGACCCUUGUUCACAUCACAAAGUACAAGUACUACAUCAACCACCUGCGCAUAUGGGUGCUAAAAUACUGUCGCCAACCACCGCGACCAACAAAUCCGAAUCUUAGUUACAACCUAAGUCUAGAUGUGAAAAGCCUGCUUACUCUUCCGAAGUCAGAAAGUUGAAGAGAGCAUGAUCCACGCCAUAGAUAUCGACAUUCCAAUCCAUCAAUCAACCAUCCCAUUUCCACCUGAACUUCUCAAGCUGAUCAUAACCAUCACUUCAACCCUGAGUCCCACGACUCAAAGCACAACAUCGAGCAAAACCCUCGAGACCUCUAAACCAACAUACUCAUCCAAAUUUGCACCAUUAAACCGACCUCGCCGCUCACACCCGAGGCAACCAUAACCAAAAGAUCAAUAGAUGUGGGACCACUGCCACAAAUCAUGGUACCAGACCAUGUUAUCCUCCAUGAACAACCCUUUGAAUUCCUGAAACCCUCCUCGAUCUUAGUAUGGAUCUUUUGCUUACAAUAGUACCAGCCCAAUACUACCAUCCACACCUAUCCAUACUUUUCUCAAGAAUCAUCUCGGUUCCUCUAAGACCUACUCAUAAAAUACUCCCAACACGUGCUCUACAGUGAAACAACCAUACUAAAUGCAUCCUAGGCUCUCCUAGGAUUUCACCCACACCACCUCUGCCAUUAGUUGUUGAAGAACCCCUAACAAUUUCAGCUAACCACUUUAUGAAUAUGACUACAUGCAACAAAGCUUAAAUAAUCCUUCGACUAAAGGACUCAAGCCUACAACGGUUGGACUCAGACAAGAGCUGGGCAAUAGGUCCAAGUCCUUUAUUCUAACAUUAUUUAACCUUCAUAGCAUGUAAUUUAAUGUAUUCAUUUGAUAAUUAACUCUCAUCGACAUGGGUCCCAUAAAGCACAAAGCAAACAACAUUCAAGCAGAGGAGGCGACUGGCACUAGAACACAAUAAAAUUAGACAGAUUCUCAUAUGAAACACUCGAUCUUAAACUCCCAUCAUCUCAGCGCACCCUCGCCCCUCCCCCACUCUCUCAAGAGUGGCAAAACAUUCCUUACGUUGGCCUGCUGUGAACUGCACCCGCUCAAAGGAAACCACAACCUCCUCAACCAAUAACGCAACUGGCUGGCUAACCCUAGACAACUCACCUACGACUAACUACCAUGUGACCCUCCAUUGGUGUUAGAUGACUAGCGCAUGAAUACAAUCACAUGCCCCACAGUUUAAACAAUGUUAGGCUAAAAGAUUCAAUCCCAUAGCGGUUGGACUUAGACAAGAGUUGCGCAGCAGGACCAAAUCCCUUACCCUAAGAUCAUUUAAACCAUGUAGCAUGUGAAUUAGCAUAUUCACUCAAUAGCCAUUUCACAUGUGCAAAGAGUCACACACAAUCAAUCAGGGAGUCUAUAAUAGAUAAGGCAUCAUAUAAUCAGCAAGUCGAUCAUGCAAUUCCUGAAGAUCCCUAGCCUAUCACUAGCAUGAUGUUCUAACAUAUCACAAUAUCAAAUAACAGUGUGGUAAUUUGCGGUCUACUUACCGGCUCCAACUAAUCAUACACAUCGCAUCUCCCAUGAUUAUUUUGAAAACAAUUUGAAAAUCAUUUUUAAAAUCAUUUCCUUAGUUUGAGACUGGAUUCACACAAGUGUUCUUCUAAUUCACUCAAACCAAGGCUCUGAUAUCAACUUUUAACAUCCCAUAAACUUUAACUAUAUAACUUUAUACUUUUAAAAACCAUCUAUUUACUAAUAAAAGUGUUCACAAUUUUUUUUCCAAUAUGUUAUUUAAAACUCAGUGUCUCCCAAAAUCAAUGACAUAAUAUCAGGAUGUGUACGGUUACGCCUUCUCCUUGCCAUGCUUCUCUGAAGAGCCUGAAACCAUAAACAAAAAUUGUAAGCAUAAAGCUUAGUGAGUUCCCACAAAAUACCAACACACAUACAUAUAACAUAUACAAAUAAAAACAUACUACGGUUCUAGUUAAUCAUCAGGUUGGAAUACCCCAGGCCCUCAACCAUCGGGUUGGAAUGCCAAUACACUAAGGAUCUAAUCAACCAUCAGGUUAGAAUACCCCAGGCCCUCAACCAUUGGGAUGGAAGGCCAAUAUAUUAUGGGUCCAAUCAUCCUCGGUAUGGAAUACCCUAGGCCUAUUGACUGAUCCACAAAGCAAUCCAAUCUCACCACAUAUCAUCCAAUCAUAUCAGGUCCAAUCAACCAAUGCGUUGGAAUACCCAAGGCCCAAUUAACCAUCAGGUUGGAAUGCCAAUAUACAAUAGGUCCAGUCAUCCAUGGGAUGCAAUACCCUGGAGCCCAUUCAACCAUCGGUAUGGGUUGCCCCGACCUGUGUCUUACACAAAAAGCAGUGAAGCCUCAGUCACCGACUAAACAUGUGAACAUAUAAGAAAUAAGCAUAUAACAGUCUACAACCACUCAUACAGAUCUACAUAUCACUAAGCAUAGCAACAUCCCAUCUACAAGGAUACCGAUCUAACAGAUCACAACAGCACAAAAGCAUGCAUAACAGGAUAUCAAUCCAAUGGGCCGACAUUGGUCCCUUCGACUCGCAAGUAUAGCGAGGAACACUCACCUCGAUCGUUGAACCCACGAAUAAAUCUCUGACUAUAGAUCUGCUAAAACCCCUGCGCUAACAUGCAUGAAUAACAUUCAAUUAACAUUCGCGCUCCAUAUCAAAUCCAAUUAUCCAAAAGUAGGGUAAAAAGACCAUUUUACCCCUCACCUAGUUUGGUCCAAGAUUAAGGCCCAAACUCCUAAUUAAAAGCCUACAAACCAAAUAAUCAUCCAAAGCCCAGUUAUGGCCCAAUUUUCCAAAUUAGGCCCAAACCCUUCAUGGGUCUCACCCUAAAUCGCAAUAACUCUUCCUAGUCCAAAACACUUGUUCUCAAUUGUCCAACAAUGCGCCAAGCAACCAAGCCCAAAAGAUGGCCCAAAUCUGAAAUGACACCAAAAGGCCCAAUAAGUCCCAAAUAUCUAAAUUGGGCCCAAACCCAUCAUGGUCCUAACCCAAGAAGGCCCAAUAAAAGGCUCAAAAUAACUAAUGGUCAACCCUGGUCUAAGGUCUAAAGUUAACAAGUCAACAAAACUAGAAAAGUCCAACAGGCCGAGUACGCCCCGCGUACUCAGCUGGUACGCCCGGCAUACACCCUUUGGGGACAGUACGUGCAGCGUACUAGAUGGUUACGCCCAACGUACUCCCCUGAACGCCAUUCUUCUCCAUUAAGCAUUUAACCACUUAAGUACUUGCUCCAAAUUCUCAGAUCUGAUUCCUAUGGAUGACUUAUCACAUAAAUCUAGCAACUUUACUUGCAUACAUGACUUAAUGGGGCUCUAGAGCUCAAAAGAGCUUAAUGAAAUGUAUUAGCACAUGCAUGAGCCCAAAUAAACCAUAAAGAUCACAUUUUUAUGCCUUGUGGACUCCUAAAGCAUCCAGAUCUACAAGAUCAAGCCUCUGAAACAACUUUAGAUCACAAGGACCAACCAAAGGGGCUAAAAUGACCAUAAUCAAACCCAAAAGAAGAUCCAACCAAGGAGAUCACAAGAUCAAAGCUUUUUACCUUCAAUAGAUUGGAAAAGAUGGAAAACCUCUGGAUCUACAACCUCCUUUCCAGGUGGUGAUUCUUCAACAAAGCUCUAUACUCUUCAAAGUGCACAAAAUACUCCAAGAUCCUUCACAAUGGCCUAAAAGAUCCAAGAUAAAGGCUAAGGGUCGACUUCUAGGGUUUAGGAGGCUUAGAGGUUGAUAAAAGAUGAGGCUCAUGAAAUAAAUGAGGUUUAAAUAGGCUCAAGGACCAAAAAUUAGGGUUUGUGGUUAAAGGGAGUAUGCCCUUCAUACUCCUUAGUAUGCCCGACAUACUCAUCGACCAUCCACGACCAAUCUUAUCGGUACGCCUAGUAUACACAUCUAGUAUGUCCCGCGUACUAAAUGACCCUACAAAACUCUAAAACUUCAUUCGGUCUUAACUCCUUCGUCCUAAGACCGUUUCCAACGAACCCUUUAUCCAAAGAGAGGUAACGAGAAGCCAGGCGCUUCUAUCAACUCACCCUCGCCCUAAAACUUCUCAAGUAAGAACCCAAAACUAAUAAAGGCUUGAACUAACAAAUUAUGAUUAUACCCUUGGGCUCUGUAACACCAUCGAACACUCGUAUCAGUUAAACUAUAAUACCCACAUUCAAAAAUUGCCAAAUCCUUUCUUUCCCAAGGCCCUAAUCCUUAUGAUAAAUGAUGAUUGGGCAACAACCCCGAAUAAUGAAGCAAUUAGAAACCGAGUGUUACAGUUUGAGACUUCCACAUACUCUAAUAUUCUUUUUAUGAUUCAGUUUUAUGAUGUUAAACAAUUUGGUACUUAUUAUCUUUUAUGAAAAUGGUUUUUGGAUGUUUUACUUAUAUUUGGAAAAGAAAAUUCGGUUGAAAACUUAGGACUUUACACUUCAACAACUUCCUCAUGUACAAAAUUAUUCCUAUAUCACUUCUUAAUAUAAUUUAAAAUUCUCUUCAAGCUCCCAAAUCGACUUUCUUUAUGAAGGGAAAAUCUAUAGUUGUGACUAAAUGGAUGAUGAUGUAUUCUACCAUGAGUUCAACUAGUGCAUGUAUUCUUGGGAUUUUGUUCUAAAGGAAAAAAAUAAAAGGUUAAAAAGAAGAAGAUGAGUUCUCUUGAGAUGGGAUGACAACUAAUUAUCAAGAAGAAUAAGGAACAAUUUACAAGGAUAAAGAGCUAGCAAAGAAAAUUCCUUUGGAUAAAAACAAAAAAAUUAUUAGGGAUUGUACCAUCCCAAAAAUCAUGAUAAAAGUUUUCAAUUUUCAAAAAUCAUUUUUACAAACCAUAUGUCAUACAAAACAUUAUUUCCAAAACAUAGUCAUAAAAUCAGAGUAUCCAAAAACAUCUCUCAACAUAAAUCCAAUGGAUGAUAUGUACGAUUACGCCUUUGCCAUGUCCCGAUCAUCUGAUGGACCUGAAACAACAAAACCAAACUUGUAAGCCAAAGAUUAGUGAGUUCCCCUAUAAUACCCCCAUACAACAAAUUAUAUAAAAUCAUGCAUACUAGUUCCAUAUUCAUCGGAUUGGAGUACCCUUGGGUCUAUAGUCAUUCGAUUGGAUUACCCCUGAGCCCACAUCAUAAGUCAAGAUUCCCUCCUGGCCCUCAUCUUAUGUUGGAUUGCUCCUGAUCCCAUAAAAUAAGUCUGGAUUGCCCUCCUAGCCCUCAGUUUAUGCCUAGAUUUCUACCAGGUUUAUUGGCUUACUACACAAAGCAGUACCACCUAUAACCAACCGCACUAUGUCGACAUAUGCGAACUAUAAUCAAAUAUCAGCAAGUACAGAUAAUCUAACAGAUCUACCAGUCUAACAGAUCACUACAACAUAGUAAGGAAACGUAACAUAUUCUAGAGGAUCGACAUUGUUACCUUCGACCUACAAGUACAGCGAGGAAAACUCACCUAAAAGUCUAGAAGAUAGUUGAACUGAUCAUUGCUCCGAAUAUCAGCUCUACAAGUCACAUAUACAACAAACAAGGACCAAGCCUAAAUCUACAAAUCAAAAUACUCCUUUUAACCUAAAGUAAAACUUUUUAAAAGUCAACGGUCAAUGGUUAAAAAGUCAAAAGUUACCAUCCAGCCAGUCUAUGCCCAACGUAACAGCUCUACGCCCUGCGUAGAGCCUAAUGUGGAAAAACAGGGAGAAAAUGGAGCUACGCCCCGUGUAUAGGAAAUUACGCCUUGCGUAAUCCCUGAAACCCUAACUUAAUCAUUAAGUCAUUAACUCAGACCAAUAUUUAUUCCAACCUCCAGAUCUUUAUUCUUACAAACAUCUUUAUUGAUAAAGUCCCAGACUAUAUCCAUUUGCAUGCAUAUCGAGGGUACAAAAUCAUUAUCUAAGUCCAAAAAGUUAUCCAAUGCUCCAUAAAACAUGCAUGGAUGGAUGAGAGUGAACAAGCUCUCAUUUUUAUGACUUAUUCAACCUAAAAACGUUUUGAAAUGACCCUCAUAUGGUCUGGAGUAGCUCAUAAUCAUAUACACCAUGUUUAUGGAGAUAAAACCAUGAAAACCUAAAGCAAAGCUAGAUCUACCAUAAAGAUACAUCAAGGUGGGGAAUUUAUACCUUCUGGAGAUGGUUGACGGAAUGAAACUUUUGGAUCCAAUCUGAUUUGAGCUUCCAAUUGAUUUUACCACGUCUUUCUUCAUUCAAAAUUGAACACAAAACACUCUCAAGGCUCAAAAACACACCAAUGGGGAUUAAGGUUUCAAAGUGUCCGUUUGGGAUGAUGAAGGCUAAGGAUGGAAGGGCCUCAAGGGAUUUAGAGCUCCAAAAAAGUCUUAAAACCCCAAGAUUAGUGUUUUCGUUCUAGGGUGCUACGUGUUGUGUAGCUUGAUCUAUUCCCCGUGUAGCUCAUUUAAUCCCCAAUAAAUGAUUCCCUCCUAUGUGCUAUGUAGGAGAUUACUCUACGCCCCGCAUAAUACCAAACUUUCAAAUAUAUAAGCUUUUAAAUAAGAAAGGAAACUAGAUUUCGUCCUUGAAAUCCUCCGCUACAAAUAGAUUUCGGAUAAUGCUCACGUAUCUCUGACUCGGGCUCCCAGGCCCACUAGAAACCCUUCUUAUGUUGCCACUGAACCUUGACCCGAGGUAUCACCAUAUAUGUAAAGUCUUCAUCUUCCUCUCCAGAAUAACUACCGACCUCUCUGUUGGAUUAGUGUCUAAGUUCAUAACUACAUUUGGUAUGUACUUGACCCGAUUGGCAUGGUCUAUUUGGGUUUCAUGGCAUCAUGCAUUUGGAUAGACUAAAAUGAGACAAAUAACACUUACGGUUUAUUAAUAUAUUAUAAGUUCUAGUAUAUUAAUAAGAUUAUUUAAUUAGUAUUUAUUAAGAAUUAGUUUGGAAUUAAUUAAGUGAUCAAAAGGAGACUAAUUAAAUAUAUGGGUUGAUUGUGUAAAUCAUCCAUACUUGUAUAGUGGGCUAAUGCUCCAUGGAUUAUCAAGUUGGGCUAAAACCCAUAGGAUGCUCCAUGGUGUUUUUGUACCCAUGGAUCAUGGAAAUGAAAGGCAAUGACAAUUAGGGUUUACAUGGUGUAACCCUAAUUGUGACACAUUAUAUAAGCAUCUUAUUGUUCCUGAAAAUUGACCACUAUGAAGGAAUGGUGAGGGCUAGCCGAUUUCAUGAAAUGUCUCAUUUCUCUCAAGUUAUUCUAAGUGUAUUUGAUGUUGUGUGAACCAUUUGAGGUGUCACACUUGGGGCAGUAGGCUUUUGAGCUCCAUGAAAUCAAGCUACAUAAAAAGGUAUGUAUUCUAUCUAGUUUUUAUACCAGUACUUAUGAUUGUAUGCUAGUUAGGGUAAUACGUUGGAAUAUUCAUAUUUUCAUGUAUAAUAGAGAAAACAUAGAUCUAAGGUAUUUAGGGUUGCAUGUACACUUAGGAGUGUUAGAAUGCUCAAAACCCAACAGUGGUAUCAGAGCCUUGGCUUGUUUUCUUGUUAUACUUGCAAAAUUGGCUGAAAAAUCAAAGUUUGUUGUUGUAUGCUCAGCAGACUCGUCGAGUCCAUAAAGGGACUUGACGAGUCCAAGGCUAAAUUCAUCCAACUCGCCGAGUUUUUUCUUGCACUCGACGAGUUGGACCCCCAGACAGCAUAUCUUUGACUGUUUUGGCUAGAAUUGGACUAGGAACAUUACCCUAAGCUGUUUUUCAACUUAUAAACCUGUUUUUGAUGUGGUAAUGUCCAUGCUAAUCCAAUUUCAAAAAUAAUUGUCAAUAGAUUCAUGUUUUGUAAUAGUUUAAUGGUUAGGCUAAUUACAUGAAAAAAUAUUGAUUGAAUUAUCUUGUUCUUAUGAGUUGCUUAGAUUGAUAGAAAAAUUAUGUGAAAUUGUUGUUUUCAAUCCAAAUUAAUCUAAGAGUUGGUUCUAAAAUGUGUUUUUGUAACUUGUCCUCAAGUUAUAUGAAAAUUCACAUUUAAGAUACAUAAAACUCAUAAAUAUUUCCAUAGGUUAUGAAUAAAGAAAAGUCAUAUUCUUUUAAUAGUUUAAAGCCUUCUAUAACUUGUCCUCAAGUUAUGGAACUUGAAGAAUUUUUUGUAUUAAAACUACUUUAAACAUAUAAGUUAUGGAAUUGAAUAGUUUUGAAUAGUUUCAAAAACAUGCCCUCAAGUUUUGGAAUUUGUAAAGUUUUCCCUUAUGAAUACUUUAAUUUCAAGUUAAGCCCUUAGAAUUUUAAAAGUUAAAAUUCAACCCUUAUACUUUAUAGUAUUAUAAGUUAAUAAUAUAUAUAUAAGAGCAAGUCAGUGUUACCAUUAGUAGCCCUCAUUCACGAAGUCGGUCUAUAAGGGGGGUAUAAGGUUACUACCUAUAAAAUGGCAGUUUAAUGGGUGUCCGCUCUCACCCACCGCUUCCUUGAUUGGUGGAGGGUUGUUAUCCGAACGGGUAGGACAAGGACUAGAAUUCUUCCUUCAUUAAAAGUAUUAAUGAUAAAUACUAAGUAACUAAACCUUUUAUAAAUUGCAAAUCUUAGUUACUUUAGGAAAAUGUGAAUUGGGUGCUAACCCAUGAAAUUACACUUUGCACUUUGCUUAAGUCGGUUAGUGGAGCAUGUGUGGUUAAGCGGCACGCUAGCUGGAUUUAACAAGGUAGGCAAAGGGUAACCUAAUGUUUAUCAUAGUAUCGGUGGAACGUGUGUGGUUAACCGGCACAUCGAUUGAGGGGUAAAUAUUAAGAGUACCAACUAUGUUUGCAUGGUUAUUCACACCUUGUUUUGUGAUCCACGGCAUCCCAGUCACAAAAUUUGAAAGGGCACAAUCUAGAUUGAAACAUGCCAUUGCACAGUUCAAUGAAUCUUAAAAGAUCUAGGAGUUUCAAAUCCAUGUAAAACCUAAUUAAAUUAUUUCGUUUUCAUGGUGGAAAUUGGUGAAUCGUCAUUCACCUACCUUCAAAUAUUUUAUAGCUUGGAUUACGACAUCCCUCUUCCAAGUUAUAAAAGUAUUGUGUGGGUCCUAGCCUUAAUAUUUCAUAUUGGGUGUUAUAUUAAGGACUUUAGAUAAACUAUCUUGAAUAUCUCCCAAAAGAUGUCCAGUUCAGAUAUCUAUGAUCUUCCCAAAUCUCUUGGAACUUCACUUCCUCCACCUCUUCCAAUUAUUCUCCCUAACCCACAAGUUCAAGGUCACUCAAGCCCUAUUGGUAAGCAAGGUCUAUGUGUGAUGCAUCUUGGAGAUGAAGUCACAUAUUGACAAGUCGGGAGAGUUAGGUGUCAAAUUCUUAAGAAAGUUGGAUGUUCAAUCACUUUCUAACUCACAUAUUGAGUUCCUUUGGGGACUACUAUCAAACAGACUAUGAUAUGACCCUUAAUGAUCUUAUCUAUUUGCUUGGUGCUGCUGAAUCAGC